UUUUCAUAUAUGCUUAUCAAAAGUCCAGAUAAGCUGAGUACUUACAAGACAUCGAGAGACCCUGACAGCACAGCAAGAUCAGAUCACUACCAGUACAGCAAGAUCACAAAAGGGCUGAGAGAAGUCUUUCAGCCAUGCAGAGAACUUCUUUAAUUUCCCUGAGUUGAUCAGUUGGAGGAAGAUGAAAGACAAGAACAUCUGGAGAAGAUUCAACUAAAAAACACAGUUGUCGGGGGGAGAUGAGUUUUCAUCCAAUUUACUAAAGUUUACAGAAUCACUUCAAUUUCGAAGUGCAGACAUCCAUUCCCACUGAUACCUGGUGGAGAUGCCUAA
RNAcentral lists this long non-coding RNA (333 nucleotides) under Chinchilla lanigera (long-tailed chinchilla). RNAcentral describes it as "lncRNA (ENSCLAG00000025469.1)". Lineage: Eukaryota; Metazoa; Chordata; Mammalia; Rodentia; Chinchillidae. The record is from RNAcentral.